CUAGAGACCCACCAGCAUUGUGAUAUCUUGUUUAGAUAACAUCUUUUGUGGAAAAUUAAAAAAAAAGAAGGUUACUAGGAUGAUCAGGAAAGAUUUGGGUGAGUUGGGAAAUGAUUGCAGUCUACAGAAGCCUAAAAUCCUAUUGACUUUCAGAUGCCAGAAAGGCCUGCUCAUGUCUGCAAGAUGAGUUUCUCAUGGCUCUGUGAUGAUAAUGUGUUGAUCCUUAUCCAGCAUGAGCUAUCUACAUCAUCUUCUUUGACUGCUAAGCUCUCAGAGCAAACACUGCUGCUGAGGAACAAAAGUAAGGUUUUCAGACUCGUUUUGGGAAGAAUCUUUCUCAUCUACCACUGCAAGCUGUAGAGGAAAUUGAGUUCAUCAACAAGUGUCUCCAUCCUGCUCUGGAGCAGAAGAAAACCGUGAUUACCUGACAGCCAUUAGUUUACCUGUAGUGGGAGAGCCCCAUCGCUCCACAGCAUCGCUCCUAACUUUUGUCAUGCUGCAAUGAAGCAUCCCUGGAGUUCUGCAAUGGUUCCUAUGUGGCCGGAGUGGCUUUCUUAUUUCAACCUCUUGAGCAUCGAUUGUUGAGUCGCUUCCUCAUCAUUAAAAGCUCGUCAGGGACAAGCUCUGGAGUUCAGAAGCUCUGUGCAGUCACCAUGGCCUUCGGAUGCCCCAAGGGCACCAGCAGAGAGGAACGAGUGUGGCGAGAGCGCAGGCAGCUGUGAGCACACUGCAAUGUCAUUGCUGUACAACAAAUGCCAGCACUGAACCAGAGGGAAAACUGAUGGCAUUCGGGGAUCACUGAAUGGAGGACUGGGCAUUCAGAGCUUCAUACUGCCCAGCAGUGAGAAGCAGACAUACGCUUUGCUGAUCUCAUGUACUCCUCCACCAUAAAAAGCUGCUCGCAGUUACAGUGAUGUUUCUAGAAGAGGAAACUUCAGGGUUGAGUUUCUCCUUUAGACGGUGCAAGUGCUCCCUGUAUUCUAUUCUUCAACCAUACAAAUGCUUAUAAAAUAGAAAUGUGAAUUGCCUCGGUGCUUUUAAAUACCUUAAAAAUAAUAAUUCAGGGACUCCUGUAUGAGAUGGAGCUGUCCCUCACUGCUUUAACCUGUGGAGUAGGUUAGCAUAACAUGGAAUCAAUUAUUGUACUAGACAUAUAAAACUGUCAGGUUUAAUACUUAACUGUAGUAUUUGCCUUGAAUGCUUGAUUUCCAGUCAUGUGUGAAGCUCCAGAAAGACAGAGAUAUCAGACAGAUUUUGGUGGAAGAAAUGACUUUGAGUACCCCGAGUUACAAAGGGAAAUCUGGAUGAGUGAUACACCCUGGGAAAGGAGUCCUUUUUCAAUCAAACACUUCCCAGUCCCUUAAAGUAAAGUAACGCAGAACACAAACUGCAGAACAAAUAUUAAGUUUCUAUUCUGCAUUGCCAUAGUUGAGACACCAUCUCAUUUCUUUCUCAGCUUCUCUGGAACCAGCUCUGCUUUAGCUGGAACAUUCUACCAAUUCUUUUCCUUUUUUUUUUUCUUAUUUCUGUACACAGAAGGAGAGAAUCAAACACAAAAGAUCUGCCUUGACUUUCACGGCUCUUCUAAUGCUUACAACUAAGCUUUAUUAUAUUAUUUAUUAUACACAAUGGAAAUAAUUAUUAUUACAGUCUUUCCUCUGUCAUGUGCUUUAUUACAUGACCUUGUUAUGGCCAAGGUUGCAAUCUGACAGUGUGCACUGCAUCGGUAGCGGUGACUGCUGGCAGGGAGUCCUUGGUUUGGGACUCUAAAACUGAUGGAUUAAACAGCAUUAAGGACAGUGAAGUGCUAAUACUGCGGUAAUGGACACUGUAAUAUUUCAAAAUAGCUCACAAGUAGAACCAAAACAAUCCAUUGGGCCACUCAAAUCAUGCAGGGUCUGGUUGGAAGCUCCUGGCCAUCUGACACCUUUGGUGUAUUGCUGUAAGUCCAGAAGCACUUGCUACCUGUAGUCCAUAAUAAGUUGGUAACAAAGAGUGAUAACAGUAUGAAGUGGAAGAGAUAUUCAUCUUGGCGUAUUUCAAUCUAGAAGUGACAAUCCUGGAUUGAUUCAUUCUCUGAGGAAUAAACCUCCUCUUACAAAAAAAAAAAAAGAAAAGAAAAAACAAGUUUAAAGAAACCAGGAUUUAUCCUCAAGAUCACCACUCAUUUUCUUUUAGAAAUUACAUUCUAGACAAUAAGAGAUCACAGACCUGUAAAUUGCAUUUUAACUUUCAGGUAACAUACUAGGGCUAUAACAAAAUCUGAGGACUAUUAUCAUAGCAAAAUAACUGUAAUGCUUCAAGGCUGUAAUAACCAUCUCCUUUUUAUCAUCCAUACUACCAUCAGGCCAAGAAACAGUGAAUUUCUUUAAUGUUAUUCUGCCAUAACCUUUAACUGUAUGCAUUAUUUCAAACACCUGGAAUAAUACUUUAUAUGGCACAACAGAAUAAUACAUUUGCCACUCACUGCACAGCAUAGUUGGCUAAACCCAAAUGAGUACAAAUGCUUAAAUCUGCUGUGCGUAUCGUAGAUAUACAUCCAUUCCUUCUACUGUGCUGUGGACUGACCUUUACGUGACAAGGAAGUUGAAGGAACAUUAGAAAGCAUAAGGUUUGUACUUAAAGUCAAUGAAGGCUCUUUCAGUUAUAUCAUCAUUAUAAAACUGUACUGCUUACCUGGUUUUGGGAGGGCUGUACUUGGCUAGCUCACACACACUUUAUGUGGAAUCUACAGCAUAAAUACUCUGUGGGUUCAUUAUAAAAAUAUGUUUGUGAUAUACCUUUCUGGUGUCCUUUGUGUUCUUUCAUGAAGUGUUUAUUCCUGUUAUAUCAAGCAUAAUGCAUAAUACCAACACCAUACAUAGAGCAUCUUGAUAAAUAAUCAUGCAUAUGCUCCAGUGGUUUUCUACAUAAAUGCUCCUAUAUAUAAGUUACUACAGCCCAGGGCUCUGAAUGGAUCAAAUUUGUAAACACAUCACUAUAUUUCUUACCUCUAUUGAAGUGUAUUAUGAUAGCAGUGCUGGCAUUUAUCUAGACUGUUGAUAUAAAGGUUUCUACCCACACGAGCAAUGCAUAUUGCAUUAUGCAAUUCUGUAAUAAACUGCUUGAAAUAUUACCAGAGACAGAGCAUGCUGGAAAACAUUGAGUGAGCCCUGAGGUGGAAUGGUUCCUACUGAGUACAGAGCACUUUGGAUCAGGCCUUGGAGGAUACUACCUAUAAAAUAACACGUUUGAAGAACUUAAUUGUGAUUUCCUCAAUGUCACCCUGUCACUCUGAAAACCGGAUGCUUUAGUUCAAUGAAAGGUCUCAG
Molecule: long non-coding RNA, 3311 nt
Filed under: Gallus gallus (chicken)
Lineage: Eukaryota; Metazoa; Chordata; Aves; Galliformes; Phasianidae
Source: RNAcentral